Molecule: ribosomal RNA, 858 nt
Filed under: Enterococcus faecium
Lineage: Bacteria; Bacillati; Bacillota; Bacilli; Lactobacillales; Enterococcaceae
Description: bacterial SSU rRNA
Rfam family: Bacterial small subunit ribosomal RNA
Source: RNAcentral
CUAAUACAUGCAAGUCGAACGCUUCUUUUUCCACCGGAGCUUGCUCCACCGGAAAAAGAGGAGUGGCGAACGGGUGAGUAACACGUGGGUAACCUGCCCAUCAGAAGGGGAUAACACUUGGAAACAGGUGCUAAUACCGUAUAACAAUCGAAACCGCAUGGUUUUGAUUUGAAAGGCGCUUUCGGGUGUCGCUGAUGGAUGGACCCGCGGUGCAUUAGCUAGUUGGUGAGGUAACGGCUCACCAAGGCCACGAUGCAUAGCCGACCUGAGAGGGUGAUCGGCCACAUUGGGACUGAGACACGGCCCAAACUCCUACGGGAGGCAGCAGUAGGGAAUCUUCGGCAAUGGACGAAAGUCUGACCGAGCAACGCCGCGUGAGUGAAGAAGGUUUUCGGAUCGUAAAACUCUGUUGUUAGAGAAGAACAAGGAUGAGAGUAACUGUUCAUCCCUUGACGGUAUCUAACCAGAAAGCCACGGCUAACUACGUGCCAGCAGCCGCGGUAAUACGUAGGUGGCAAGCGUUGUCCGGAUUUAUUGGGCGUAAAGCGAGCGCAGGCGGUUUCUUAAGUCUGAUGUGAAAGCCCCCGGCUCAACCGGGGAGGGUCAUUGGAAACUGGGAGACUUGAGUGCAGAAGAGGAGAGUGGAAUUCCAUGUGUAGCGGUGAAAUGCGUAGAUAUAUGGAGGAACACCAGUGGCGAAGGCGGCUCUCUGGUCUGUAACUGACGCUGAGGCUCGAAAGCGUGGGGAGCAAACAGGAUUAGAUACCCUGGUAGUCCACGCCGUAAACGAUGAGUGCUAAGUGUUGGAGGGUUUCCGCCCUUCAGUGCUGCAGCUAACGCAUUAAGCACUCCGCCUGG